RNAcentral lists this small nucleolar RNA (124 nucleotides) under Cucumis sativus (cucumber). Its description in RNAcentral is "snoRNA SNORD14". It matches the Rfam family "Small nucleolar RNA SNORD14". Rfam says of the family: U14 small nucleolar RNA (U14 snoRNA) is required for early cleavages of eukaryotic precursor rRNAs. In yeasts, this molecule possess a stem-loop region (known as the Y-domain) which is essential for function. Lineage: Eukaryota; Viridiplantae; Streptophyta; Magnoliopsida; Cucurbitales; Cucurbitaceae. The record is from Rfam by way of RNAcentral.
UGUUGAUGAUGACAAUUCCGAAGGCUUGUUUCUCAGAACAUUCGCAGUGGCCGCCUAAGAGCUUUCGCCUUCGCCAGGCUUGAGAGCUAAUGCUGCUUUAUUCCUUCCUUGGAUGCCUGAAACC